UGAACCAAUGAUUAGGUCUGGUGGUGGAUGAGUCAUGGACGAUGAAUAAUAAGUUUCUAGAACCUUGAGGUCCAA
Camelus dromedarius (Arabian camel) is the source of this 75-nucleotide small nucleolar RNA. Lineage: Eukaryota; Metazoa; Chordata; Mammalia; Artiodactyla; Camelidae. The record is from Ensembl.